CAUUAUCUGCAUAUGGCCUUAUUUUCCUAGGUGCUCAUUAUUAUUCCACUAGAAAUGAAUUUCUACACUUUAAUGUUGGUUAGAAAGCUUAGUUUUUAUCAGCUAACUCACAACAUGGAAGACACUUCUCUGAAUCACUGUGACUAGGGCUAGGGUUUUUUCUCCUGAAACUUGAGGAAGAUCGAGCUCGGGACGGAGGCUACAUUCAAAUCAGUCAAUCCUAUGACUUUCAAAUCCUGUAAGUCUACAUCACCCAUGCUUCAUUUUAUAUACGACACACUGAUUCAUCACAGAAUCAAUCAUAAUACACCAACCAUUGUUCGUUUUUUCGAACCCUAAUCAAUAGCAAACCACUCAAAUUUCACCAAGAACCAAGCUCUCACGAUCUCCUACCUCACAAAGUCAUGUGAGUUGUCUUUUAAUUCUGCUAUCUCAGCUUCUAAAGAAGCUCAACAUUGAGAGCGCAGAGGAAUCGAACUCGGUUCUUGAGCUCCUAAGGUCCCAUGGAUUCACUGAAAAUCACAUUUCAAUCCUAGUUCCUAAACGCCCACAAUUAAUUUUGGCUGAUCCGGAGAAUAUGAGACCCAAAUUUGAGUAUUUUGAAUCUUUGGGUUUUGUCGGACCUGACUUGCAUAGGAUUCUUUGUUCAUAUAAAUAGCAGUUUAGAAAACCGAAUCAAACCCACAUUUGAUUUCCUUAAACGAUACUUAAGGAGCAAUGAGAAUUUAAUCUGUGCUGUUAGGCAAUCUGUCAAUUUCGUGCUGGGCAACGUACAAAAAGUUAUGGUGUCAAACAUUGACACCUUGCGGGCUCAUGGUGUGCCUAAAUCCCAUAUUGAAAAAUUGACCAUGAGGCAGCCUAGAGCCCUAAUGUUAGGAGUUGAUGUGUUUAAAGAGGUUACUGAUGCAGUUAAGGAAACGGGUUUUGAUCCCAGAAGUCAAUCAUACUGAUGUAUCAGAGUGUCGUAUAUGAAAUGAAACAUGGGUGAUAUAGACUUACAGGAUUUGAAAGGGUUGACUGAUUUGAAUGUAGCCUCCGUCCCGAGCUUGUGUUAGAUUACAGCGUAAAGAUAUUCUAACCACGUAUAAGGAGGUAGCUCCAGAGGUACUCAAAGCGUUCAAGGGUGAGAUAGGAUUUCAUGGAUUCUAGGAUUUCAUGGAUUCAAUACUAGAUUGUAGGACAAUGCGGAAUCAGAGAGGCGAGCAACAGCUAGAUGUGAGUUUCUGGCAACAGCAGGGGACUAAAAAAUUGUGUAUGGUGUAUGAGUUUCUAUCAAAAUGAUUUGGCUGCAUAUAAAGUCUACCAUCUAAGAAGUGAUCCUCAAAGAAUUUUUGGUGGCUGAUAAAGUUAAAGAAGGGCCUGGUACGGACGGACGAGGAACAGCUUCAUUGGGUCUAGAAUAUUUGAAUUGAGGAGAAGUGGAAAACAGUCUCAUGGAUCAUCUACGAUUUGGUUUCAACACUGUAAAAUGCUUUUUUUAUGCAAAUAUUCCACAGGGCAUUACCCACUGUAUCUCCUGCUUACACCUGCUUGUUGGUUUUCACAUUUAUUAGUCCAAUUUACCAAGUAAUGACCCCGAUAUUAUCUGUUUUCAUCUCUAAAUAUGAUCAGGUCUUUUGGGUACAACACGUAUAACUCAGCAGUUAUUAUUCUACCUUCAGUUUUGAUUAUGAUAGUAUGAUCAGUUAUUCUUGUGGUAAUAUUCUCUUUUUUCUAGCUCACAAAAUUUGUACCUGAAUUGCAGUGUCCAUGACAUUAGAUGUUGAUAUUUUAUUUUGUGGAUGAACUGACACGGCUUGACUUGACGCUGAAUGUAACACACACACACUGACUGCAAGAGCGCACACAGAGGCACACACUGACUGCAAGAGCGCACACAGAGGCACAACCAUUUAGACAGCCUAAAUCCCUGCCUGCUUCAGAUUUAUAUACUGCUUGGAGGAACAUGAUUGUUUAUUGACAAGGAACUGGGUUAUGUUGGGUUUCCACUAUAUAAUAAUGUCAAGGAAAUGAAGAUUCCAAAAAGAGGAAGUCCAUUUUUGCUAGCUCUUCCUUCCUGAGGUAUGUACCACUCACUCUUAUCAGUAUGUUUGAAUAUUACCUAAUCAUUCCAUGAACUUACAAAGUUGUACGGAGUAGGAUGCUGUAUUCAUAAAUAGUUACAUACUCUUGGACAUAAUGCAACAUGCUCCGGUGCAUAGUUGCAUCUGUAAAAGCAAACAUGCAUGUAACCAUCUAAAGGUUACUCUGGUGAAGGGGGUAUGACUGGUUCAUGUACAUUUUAUUAUUCAGCAAACAUGCAUGUUUUGGGCACAUUUAUUAUUCAGUGCUAAUUAUUUUCAGCCGGGAUUAAAAUUUAAUUAUGGUGAUUUAUCUUAUUCUUGUAGUAAUAUUCUUUUUUUUUUUUUU
Cornus florida is the source of this 2409-nucleotide long non-coding RNA. RefSeq lists it as uncharacterized. The record is from RefSeq and is a predicted model, not a curated record. NCBI's taxonomy places the organism in Eukaryota, Viridiplantae, Streptophyta, Magnoliopsida, Cornales, Cornaceae. The transcript has 2 exons.